RNAcentral lists this ribosomal RNA (1355 nucleotides) under uncultured bacterium. Its description in RNAcentral is "bacterial SSU rRNA". It matches the Rfam family "Bacterial small subunit ribosomal RNA", at positions 28 to 1381 of the family's 1533-position model. The record is from RNAcentral.
AUUGAACGCUGGCGGCAGGCUUAACACAUGCAAGUCGAACGAUGACUCUCUAGCUUGCUAGAGAAGAUUAGUGGCGGACGGGUGAGUAACAUUUAGGAAUCUGCCUAGUAGUGGGGGAUAGCUCGGGGAAACUCGAAUUAAUACCGCAUACGACCUACGGGUGAAAGGGGGCGCAAGCUCUUGCUAUUAGAUGAGCCUAAAUCAGAUUAGCUAGUUGGUGGGGUAAAGGCCCACCAAGGCGACGAUCUGUAACUGGUCUGAGAGGAUGAUCAGUCACACCGGAACUGAGACACGGUCCGGACUCCUACGGGAGGCAGCAGUGGGGAAUAUUGGACAAUGGGGGCAACCCUGAUCCAGCCAUGCCGCGUGUGUGAAGAAGGCCUUUUGGUUGUAAAGCACUUUAAGCAGGGAGGAGAGACUAAUGGUUAAUACCCAUUAGAUUAGACGUUACCUGCAGAAUAAGCACCGGCUAACUCUGUGCCAGCAGCCGCGGUAAUACAGAGGGUGCGAGCGUUAAUCGGAAUUACUGGGCGUAAAGCGAGUGUAGGUGGCUCAUUAAGUCACAUGUGAAAUCCCCGGGCUUAACCUGGGAACUGCAUGUGAUACUGGUGGUGCUAGAAUAUGUGAGAGGGAAGUAGAAUUCCAGGUGUAGCGGUGAAAUGCGUAGAGAUCUGGAGGAAUACCGACGGCGAAGGCAGCUUCCUGGCAUAAUAUUGACACUGAGAUUCGAAAGCGUGGGUAGCAAACAGGAUUAGAUACCCUGGUAGUCCACGCCGUAAACGAUGUCUACUAGCCGUUGGGGUCCUUGAGACUUUAGUGGCGCAGUUAACGCGAUAAGUAGACCGCCUGGGGAGUACGGCCGCAAGGUUAAAACUCAAAUGAAUUGACGGGGGCCCGCACAAGCGGUGGAGCCUGUGGUUUAAUUCGAUGCAACGCGAAGAACCUUACCUGGUCUUGACAUAGUGAGAAUCCUGUAGAGAUGCGGGAGUGCCUUCGGGAAUUCACAUACAGGUGCUGCAUGGCUGUCGUCAGCUCGUGUCGUGAGAUGUUGGGUUAAGUCCCGCAACGAGCGCAACCCUUUUCCUUAUUUGCCAGCGGGUUAAGCCGGGAACUUUAGGGAUACUGCCAGUGACAAACUGGAGGAAGGCGGGGACGACGUCAAGUCAUCAUGGCCCUUACGACCAGGGUUACACACGUGCUACAAUGGUAGGUACAGAGGGUUGCUACACAGCGAUGUGAUGCUAAUCUCAAAAAGCCUAUCGUAGUCCGGAUUGGAGUCUGCAACUCGACUCCAUGAAGUCGGAAUCGCUAGUAAUCGCAGAUCAGAAUGCUGCGGUGAAUACGUUCCCGGGCCU